This 75-nucleotide transfer RNA is filed under the name Roseimicrobium sp. ORNL1. Its description in RNAcentral is "tRNA-Ala". Lineage: Bacteria; Pseudomonadati; Verrucomicrobiota; Verrucomicrobiia; Verrucomicrobiales; Verrucomicrobiaceae. The record is from RNAcentral.
GGGCUGCUCGAUCAUCUAGAAGGUCACCCGCCUCGCACGCGGGAGAGCAGGGUGCAACUCCCUGGCGGUCCACCA